Molecule: ribosomal RNA, 300 nt
Filed under: Triticum aestivum (bread wheat)
Lineage: Eukaryota; Viridiplantae; Streptophyta; Magnoliopsida; Poales; Poaceae
Description: partial small subunit ribosomal RNA
Source: RNAcentral
AUGCCGCUUGCUUUCCUGCUAGCCUCUGCCUCCUCUGGUCUCGAAGUUGAUGAGACCCUGAUGCAAAGCGUCCAUGCAAAGCUCCCACAAUCAUCCGCUCCAUCUCAGCAGGAGGAGAGCAAUGGAAAUAACACCCCGUCGCGGUCCUGGUGCUUCUCUCCGUGGGCUCGCUUGCUCACCUCGGCGUUUGCGGCUUCUACAGGAAGGACUGAGCAGCCACUGUGCUGGAGUAGACUGUGUGACAGAUUUGCAAGAAUAUUAUGUUAUGUAAGAACAUGGCGGUGCAAUCACCCGAGGUGA